This 426-nucleotide ribosomal RNA is filed under the name Triticum aestivum (bread wheat). Its description in RNAcentral is "partial small subunit ribosomal RNA". Lineage: Eukaryota; Viridiplantae; Streptophyta; Magnoliopsida; Poales; Poaceae. The record is from RNAcentral.
AUGCAGAGAUCUCUCGCUGUUGGCAUUAAGUCUGAGAACAAUGGCAAGCGGGAUUACACUGGAACUGGUACUGUUCCAUCCUUGCAUAAGCAAGAUAGCAAGAUACUGACCAAAAAGACCAUAAAGUUGUUGGAUGCACCACCUUGUCCAAAAAGGCCAAAGCUAGAGCCAACUCAAACCACUAGAGGUGCUGAAGCUAAGGGCCAUGAAUCGCUGCCACAUAAGAUUGUUCCUGAAAUGGUACGAUGCACAACAUCUGAAAAAUCUGGGUUGCUAAAGCAGAGGCGCAUUUCUGAUGCGAAGAGAAUUGACAAGAAGAAUGCUAGGUCUGGUGUCAGAUCUAAAUAUGAUUGUUUCACAUUAAAGUCUGGUUUAGGAAAUCAUGAUUCCAGUUUCAUGGGAAAUGGCAUGCUUGGUAUGUAUUAA